This 468-nucleotide ribosomal RNA is filed under the name uncultured bacterium. RNAcentral describes it as "partial 16S ribosomal RNA". It matches the Rfam family "Bacterial small subunit ribosomal RNA", at positions 28 to 507 of the family's 1533-position model. The record is from RNAcentral.
GACGAACGCUGGCGGCGUGCUUAACACAUGCAAGUCGAACGGAAAGGCCCUGCUCUUGUGGGGUGCUCGAGUGGCGAACGGGUGAGUAACACGUGAGUAACCUGCCCUUGACUUUGGGAUAACUUCAGGAAACUGGGGCUAAUACCGGAUAGGAGCUCCUGAUGCAUGGUGGGGGUUGGAAAGUUUCGGCGGUUGGGGAUGGACUCGCGGCUUAUCCGCUUGUUUGUGAGGUAGUGGCUUACCAAGGCUUUGACGGGUAGCCGGCCUGAGAGGGUGACCGGCGACAUGGGGACUGAGAUACGGCCCAGACGGCUACGGGAGGCAGAAGUGGGGAAUAUGGCACAAUGGGCGGAAGCCAGAUGCAGCAACGCCGCGUGCGGAAUGACGGCCUUCGGGUUGUAAACCGCUUUCGCCGGUGACGAAGAGUGAGUGACGGUAAUGGGUAAGGAAGCACCGGCUAACUACGUG